AAGUAAUGAUUUUGGAUUCUAUGAAUUCAAAAAAUCUAACUUUGUGGUAAUAUUGAAAAAUUGGAUUUGGGUUUAAAGAUGAUAUUUUCUAUUUUUAGAAAGUGUCGACCCAAGCAUUUUUUAUCAACCUCUUUUUAUUAUUUGACUGAAAUUAUCAAGUAUAUUAAUCACAUGAUUAAUAAAAAAGUUAUAAA
RNAcentral lists this unclassified non-coding RNA (194 nucleotides) under uncultured Mucoromycotina. RNAcentral describes it as "sequence contains ITS1". Lineage: Eukaryota; Fungi. The record is from RNAcentral.